AGAGUUUGAUCCUGGCUCAGGACGAACGCUGGCGGCGUGCUUAACACAUGCAAGUCGAACGAUGAAGCCCAGCUUGCUGGGUGGAUUAGUGGCGAACGGGUGAGUAACACGUGAGUAACCUGCCCUUGACUCUGGGAUAAGCGCUGGAAACGGCGUCUAAUACCGGAUACGACCUGCCCCGGCAUCGGGUGCGGGUGGAAAGUUUUUCGGUCAAGGAUGGACUCGCGGCCUAUCAGGUAGUUGGUGAGGUAAUGGCUCACCAAGCCGACGACGGGUAGCCGGCCUGAGAGGGUGACCGGCCACACUGGGACUGAGACACGGCCCAGACUCCUACGGGAGGCAGCAGUGGGGAAUAUUGCACAAUGGGCGAAAGCCUGAUGCAGCAACGCCGCGUGGGGGAUGACGGCCUUCGGGUUGUAAACCUCUUUUAGUAGGGAAGAAGGGCUUCGGCUUGACGGUACCUGCAGAAAAAGCACCGGCUAACUACGUGCCAGCAGCCGCGGUAAUACGUAGGGUGCAAGCGUUGUCCGGAAUUAUUGGGCGUAAAGAGCUCGUAGGCGGUUUGUCGCGUCUGCUGUGAAAACCCGAGGCUCAACCUCGGGCCUGCAGUGGGUACGGGCAGACUAGAGUGCGGUAGGGGAGAAUGGAAUUCCUGGUGUAGCGGUGGAAUGCGCAGAUAUCAGGAGGAACACCGAUGGCGAAGGCAGUUCUCUGGGCCGUUACUGACGCUGAGGAGCGAAAGCGUGGGGAGCGAACAGGAUUAGAUACCCUGGUAGUCCACGCCGUANACGUUGGGAACUAGAUGUGGGGACCUUUCCACGGUCUCCGUGUCGCAGCUAACGCAUUAAGUUCCCCGCCUGGGGAGUACGGCCGCAAGGCUAANACUCAAAGGAAUUGACGGGGGCCCGCACAAGCGGCGGANCAUGCGGAUUAAUUCGAUGCAACGCGAANAACCUUACCAAGGCUUGACAUAUACCGGAAACUUCCA
RNAcentral lists this ribosomal RNA (988 nucleotides) under bacterium Q03. RNAcentral describes it as "bacterial SSU rRNA". It matches the Rfam family "Bacterial small subunit ribosomal RNA", at positions 8 to 1002 of the family's 1533-position model. The record is from RNAcentral.